AACAAAAACAUCACUAGAAGAUAAAGACUUUUAGCAAUACCUGCCCAGUGCGAAAUAUUACUGUAAACGGCCGCCCUAGCGUGAGGGUGCUAAGGUAGCGAAAUUCCUUGCCUUUUGAUUGUAGGCCUGCAUGAAUGGUUUAACGAGGGUUUAACUGUCUCUAAAUUUUUUAUUGAAAUUGUACUGAAGGUGAAGAUACCUUCAUUAAAAAGUUAGACAAAAAGACCCCGUGCAACUUUGAAAAUUGACUUUAUUCAGGAGUAAAAGAUUUUUAGGUGGGGCGCCUAGAAAGUAAGCCUAACCUUUCUGAGUAACUAACUCUUUCCGGAUUUGACCCGAUUAUAUUCGAUCAUAGGAGAAGUUACGCCGGGGAUAACAGGCUAAUCCUUUAGUAGAGUUCGUAUUGGCUAAAGGGAUUGGCACCUCGAUGUUGAAUCAGGGAUGAUAGCUUCAAGGCGUAGAGGCUU
This is a ribosomal RNA of 467 nucleotides. It matches the Rfam family "Bacterial large subunit ribosomal RNA", at positions 1806 to 2564 of the family's 2925-position model.